Non-coding RNA from Nomia melanderi (Alkali bee), 1185 nucleotides. NCBI's taxonomy places the organism in Eukaryota, Metazoa, Arthropoda, Insecta, Hymenoptera, Halictidae. The record is from RefSeq and is a predicted model, not a curated record.
UAUUGAGUACCUUUCGUCGGUCAGUAUCAUUGAAACCGUCGCAAUGGUACGAGUGUAUACACAGAUAUACUAAUUACACCGGAAAAUUGCGACAGCAGUGCUUCAGCUACAGCCGUAUAUUACAAAGAAAUAUUUGCACAUAGUCGUCACUAACAUUAACAUAUAGCACAAAUUAGCUUUGUUUGUAUUUUAAAUGAAAGAUUCUCGUAAACUCUGUCGAAGGUUGUUAUAUCUGUAGUCUUUUUCUACCCAGAAACACCAUAUUCAGUAGAAAUGAGCAUGAAGAACUUCUGAUCAAUUUCAAGAAGUAAGUAGGAAGGAUGUAAAUAAUGAUGGUAACGGUACGUUCGAUGAAGUGUUUGCUUCCCCGUUACUUCAUUGUAUUUAGAAUUGGUUAUUCGAGCUGGCAAUUAAAGCGAGGACAUAGUACCGAUUCAUGUGGAGGGGGUGAAGAAGAGAUGAUAACGGUAUCGAUAUCGCAGAUGCUCAAAGGAGGAGUCCAGAAAAUCACCAAAUUUAUUGUUCAGUAGAUAUUACCACGAUCAUACUGUGGCAAUAUGGGUCAAGGAUUAAUUUAAAUAUUUCAACUCUAAGAAUACCAUCAGUGAGCAACGAGCAAAGCUUAAAGAGAGGUGAUGAAGAGCAAAGAUAUUAUUAGUAUAUUAAGUUUUUACUAUUUAACCAUUCAGACCUGGUUUUUGAACUUACCUGACAACAAACGAUUGCUAUUUGAUACAACAUUGGUAAUGACAUCUAUUUUCAAUAAAAUAUGGUAUAAAAUAAAACUUCUAUAUAAUAAUAAAAUAAAAUACUAGUUUUCUGAUAAAAAUAGGCUCGAAACAAGGGUGUAUACAUGGUUGCUUGUUAUAAGUUUAAUAUUUUUGUUUACACUCGGUCAUCGAACUGUUUACCUUUAUUAAAACCUGUUUUAACGAAGUCACUAACGAAGUUCACCCAUUCACUGAAACGGUGGUAAAGAACACGUUAAAUAAUAAACAAACGGGAAAAAAAGGAUUUCACACUGAACGAGUGAUCAAACGAUCGAACAACUGAAUGGGUUGCUUUCAUCUCAGGUUGGCGAAAAGAAUAAUUAUAUUUUUAAAAACUCGUAGGUCGCGUUCGGUCGAUAGUCCCGAAAAAUUCAAAGUGAUUCGGACCUGCUCUCGUUCGAGGAGAGAAACCGAU